RNAcentral lists this ribosomal RNA (465 nucleotides) under Vreelandella stevensii. RNAcentral's name for it is "partial 16S ribosomal RNA". It matches the Rfam family "Bacterial small subunit ribosomal RNA", at positions 338 to 795 of the family's 1533-position model. The record is from RNAcentral. Lineage: Bacteria; Pseudomonadati; Pseudomonadota; Gammaproteobacteria; Oceanospirillales; Halomonadaceae.
CCUACGGACGGCAGCAGUGGGGAAUAUUGGACAAUGGGCGAAAGCCUGAUCCAGCCAUGCCGCGUGUGUGAAGAAGGCCUUCGGGUUGUAAAGCACUUUCAGUGGGGAAGAAAGCCUUGGGGCUAAUACCCUCGAGGAAGGACAUCACCCACAGAAGAAGCACCGGCUAACUCCGUGCCAGCAGCCGCGGUAAUACGGAGGGUGCGAGCGUUAAUCGGAAUUACUGGGCGUAAAGCGCGCGUAGGCGGUCUGAUAAGCCGGUUGUGAAAGCCCCGGGCUCAACCUGGGAACGGCAUCCGGAACUGUCAGGCUAGAGUGCAGGAGAGGAAGGUAGAAUUCCCGGUGUAGCGGUGAAAUGCGUAGAGAUCGGGAGGAAUACCAGUGGCGAAGGCGGCCUUCUGGACUGACACUGACGCUGAGGUGCGAAAGCGUGGGUAGCAAACAGGAUUAGAUACCCUAGUAGUC